RNAcentral lists this ribosomal RNA (489 nucleotides) under uncultured bacterium. RNAcentral's name for it is "partial 16S ribosomal RNA". It matches the Rfam family "Bacterial small subunit ribosomal RNA", at positions 28 to 507 of the family's 1533-position model. The record is from RNAcentral.
GACGAACGCUGGCGGCGUGCUUAACACAUGCCAGUCGAACGGUGAAGGGACCAGCUUGCUGGUUCUGGAUGAGUGGCGAACGGGUGAGUAACACGUGAGUAACCUGCCCCCUUCUUCUGGAUAACCGCAUGAAAGUGUGGCUAAUACGGGAUAUUCUGGGUCUGUCGCAUGGCGGGCCCGGGAAAGAUAUUGCUUCGGUGGGGGAUGGGCUCGCGGCCUAUCAGCUUGUUGGUGGGGUGAUGGCCUACCAAGGCGGUGACGGGUAGCCGGCCUGAGAGGGUGGACGGUCACACUGGGACUGAGACACGGCCCAGACUCCUACGGGAGGCAGCAGUGGGGAAUAUUGCACAAUGGGCGCAAGCCUGAUGCAGCGACGCCGCGUGAGGGAUGGAGGCCUUCGGGUUGUAAACCUCUUUCGCCAGUGAAGCAGGCCUGCUCCUUGUGGGUGGGUUGACGGUAGCUGGAUAAGAAGCGCCGGCUAACUACGUG